UGGUGAAUAUUGCGCAAUGGGCGAAAGCCUGAUCUAGCCGUGCCGCGUGAGCGAUGAAGGCCUUAGGGUUGUAAAGCUCUUUCACCGGGGAAGAUAAUGACGGUACCCGGAGAAGAAGCCCCGGCUAACUCCGUGCCAGCAGCCGCGGUAAUACGGAGGGGGCUAGCGUUGUUCGGAAUUACGGGGCGUAAAGCGCGCGUAGGCGGGCUGUUAAGUCGGGGGUGAAAUCCCGGGGCUCAACCCCGGAACUGCCUUCGAUACUGGCAGCCUGGAGUCCGAGAGAGGUGAGUGGAAUUCCGAGUGUAGAGGUGAAAUUCGUAGAUAUUCGGAGGAACACCAGUGGCGAAGGCGGCUCACUGGCUCGGUACUGACGCUGAGGUGCGAAAGCGUGGGGAGCAA
This 399-nucleotide ribosomal RNA is filed under the name uncultured bacterium. RNAcentral describes it as "bacterial SSU rRNA". It matches the Rfam family "Bacterial small subunit ribosomal RNA", at positions 355 to 771 of the family's 1533-position model. The record is from RNAcentral.